UGAGUAGGACGAGUGAUCGCGGCUGCAUUAGCGAAAGCGUGCAGGUGAGGAAAGUCCGGGCUUCGUAGGGCAGGAUGCCGGAUAACGUCCGGUGGAGGCGACUCUAAGGAUAGUGCAACAGAAAUAUACCGCCAGCAAUUGCUGGUAAGGGUGGAAGGGUAGUGUAAGGGACUACCGCCCGGGUGGUAACAUCCGGGGCAUAUGUAAACCCCAUCCGAAGCAAGACCAGAUAGAAAGCGUUGAGGUGGCCCGUUUAGCUUUCGGGUUGGUCGCUUAAGCCUAUUGGUAACAGUAGGAUUAGAUAGAUGAUCAUUCUAGACAUAACCCGGCUUAUAGUUCUACUCAAUAU
RNAcentral lists this RNase P RNA (349 nucleotides) under Lachnospiraceae bacterium. RNAcentral's name for it is "RNase P RNA component class A". It matches the Rfam family "Bacterial RNase P class A". Rfam says of the family: Ribonuclease P (RNase P) is a ubiquitous endoribonuclease, found in archaea, bacteria and eukarya as well as chloroplasts and mitochondria. Its best characterised activity is the generation of mature 5'-ends of tRNAs by cleaving the 5'-leader elements of precursor-tRNAs. Cellular RNase Ps are ribonucleoproteins. Lineage: Bacteria; Bacillati; Bacillota; Clostridia; Lachnospirales; Lachnospiraceae. The record is from RNAcentral.